Molecule: unclassified non-coding RNA, 337 nt
Filed under: soil metagenome
Description: partial contains 5.8S ribosomal RNA, internal transcribed spacer 2, and large subunit ribosomal RNA
Rfam family: 5.8S ribosomal RNA (bases 1-120)
Source: RNAcentral
GAUGAAGAACGUAGCGAAAUGCGAUAAGUAAUGUGAAUUGCAGAAUUCAGUGAAUCAUCGAAUCUUUGAACGCACAUUGCGCCCGCCAGUAUUCUGGCGGGCAUGCCUGUUCGAGCGUCAUUUCAACCAUCAAGCCCCCGGGCUUGUGUUGGGGACCUGCGGCUGCCGCAGGCCCUGAAAAGCAGUGGCGGGCUCGCUGUCACACCGAGCGUAGUAGCAUACAUCUCGCUCUGGGCGUGCUGCGGGUUCCGGCCGUUAAACUACCCUUUUAACCCAAGGUUGACCUCGGAUCAGGUAGGAAGACCCGCUGAACUUAAGCAUAUCAAUAAGCGGAGGA